Molecule: small nucleolar RNA, 92 nt
Organism: Arabis alpina (gray rockcress)
Lineage: Eukaryota; Viridiplantae; Streptophyta; Magnoliopsida; Brassicales; Brassicaceae
Rfam family: Small nucleolar RNA R64/Z200 family
About the family: This family of plant small nucleolar RNAs belong to the C/D class of snoRNA which contain the C (UGAUGA) and D (CUGA) box motifs. This family includes Arabidopsis thaliana snoRNA R64 and Oryza sativa snoRNAs Z200 and J16.
Source: Rfam
CUUCUGCUAUGAUGAUUUUGAAUAUAUUCACAUGUCAGACUUCAGAGAUUUUAGAAUCAAUGAGAAUACCAAUUCAGUUUUCUGAGCAGAAG